UGGGGAAUAUUGCACAAUGGGCGCAAGCCUGAUGCAGCCAUGCCGCGUGUGUGAAGAAGGCCUUCGGGUUGUAAAGCACUUUCAGCGAGGAGGAAGGGUUCAGUGUUAAUAGCACUGUUCAUUGACGUUACUCGCAGAAGAAGCACCGGCUAACUCCGUGCCAGCAGCCGCGGUAAUACGGAGGGUGCAAGCGUUAAUCGGAAUUACUGGGCGUAAAGCGCACGCAGGCGGUUUGUUAAGUCAGAUGUGAAAUCCCCGCGCUUAACGUGGGAACUGCAUUUGAAACUGGCAAGCUAGAGUCUUGUAGAGGGGGGUAGAAUUCCAGGUGUAGCGGUGAAAUGCGUAGAGAUCUGGGGGAAUACCGGUGGCGAAGGCGGCCCCCUGGA
RNAcentral lists this ribosomal RNA (386 nucleotides) under uncultured bacterium. Its description in RNAcentral is "partial 16S ribosomal RNA". It matches the Rfam family "Bacterial small subunit ribosomal RNA", at positions 355 to 733 of the family's 1533-position model. The record is from RNAcentral.